CACACUUUAAUUUGUACAGGCUUCCCUCCUUUUACCACUGGCUUUUGCUUUUAGUAAUGAUCACAGUUGCCCACCACCACCAUCACCACCAACUGCUGACCAAUUUAAAUAAGCAGCAGAUUUCUCAGACCCCUCAUUCCCCACAAGAUUCCACCCCCAUUUACAGAUCUCUCUGCAGAGACAGCAGCAGCCAGAUGGAAUGGAAGAAGUCUCUUGUCUAAAGCCAGAGAAAGCAACAACCUUUAUCUUUAUGAUCAGCAUUACCUGUGACAGUAUUACAGCAAUGAGCAAUCUUACUAUCUCAGACAAGUGGAGCAGGAGAAGAGAAAGGUCUGCACACUGGAACCAUAUUGCAUUCUCCAAUCAAAUAAAGUAUGUUUUACAUUACAUGUAGAUCAGGCAAAGAAACAAAAAGCUCUGAACAGCCUAGAAGCUUAUUAUAUAACAUCUACACACAAAAAAUGAAAAGAAACUGAUAUAGAAGGCCAAUUCAACUUAUUGAUCCUCCUAGCUCUCUCUAUGUUUUCUUCCUUCUUUUUUUUCUCUUAUCAAUAUUCUCUAUAAACCUUGGCGAGGUGCCAAUCUGUAAGUACAAUGUUUGUUCUGUACAACUGGCUAAUCAAUAGCCGAAAACUUAUGGAA
This is a long non-coding RNA of Nicotiana tabacum (common tobacco), 642 nucleotides long. RefSeq lists it as uncharacterized. The record is from RefSeq and is a predicted model, not a curated record. Lineage: Eukaryota; Viridiplantae; Streptophyta; Magnoliopsida; Solanales; Solanaceae.